RNAcentral lists this ribosomal RNA (408 nucleotides) under uncultured bacterium. RNAcentral describes it as "partial 16S ribosomal RNA". It matches the Rfam family "Bacterial small subunit ribosomal RNA", at positions 28 to 526 of the family's 1533-position model. The record is from RNAcentral.
GACGAACGCUGGCGGCGUGCUUAACACAUGCAAGUCGAACGGAGUGGCGAACGGGUGAGUAACACGUGGGUGAUCCGCCUUGCACUUCGGGAUAAGCUUGGGAAACUGGGUCCAAUACCGGAUAGUGCAAGAUGGGCGCGCGGCUUAUCAGCUUGUUGGUGGGGUAAUGGCCUACCAAGGCGUCGACGGGUAGCCGGCCUGAGAGGGGGUACGGGCACAUGGGGCCUAAGGUACGGACCAGAGUCCGACGGGGGGCAGCAGUGGGGAAUCUGGCGCAGUGGGCGGGAGCCUGAGGCGGCGACGCCGGGGGGGUGAUGAAGGCCUUCGGGUUGUAAACGCCUUUCGACAAGGACGCGGUACCUGUAUAAGAAGCACCGGCUAACUACGUGCCAGCAGCCGCGGUAAUUC